This 72-nucleotide transfer RNA is filed under the name Podiceps cristatus (great crested grebe). It matches the Rfam family "tRNA". From Rfam's summary of the family: Transfer RNA (tRNA) molecules are approximately 80 nucleotides in length. Their secondary structure includes four short double-helical elements and three loops (D, anti-codon, and T loops). Further hydrogen bonds mediate the characteristic L-shaped molecular structure. tRNAs have two regions of fundamental functional importance: the anti-codon, which is responsible for specific mRNA codon recognition, and the 3' end, to which the tRNAs corresponding amino acid is attached (by aminoacyl-tRNA synthetases). tRNAs cope with the degeneracy of the genetic code in two manners: having more than one tRNA (with a specific anti-codon) for a particular amino acid; and 'wobble' base-pairing, i.e. permitting non-standard base-pairing at the 3rd anti-codon position. Lineage: Eukaryota; Metazoa; Chordata; Aves; Podicipediformes; Podicipedidae. The record is from Rfam by way of RNAcentral.
GGGGGUAUAGCUCAAUGGGAGAGCACUUGCUUUGUGUGUAAGAGGCCCUGGGUUCAGCCCCCAGCAUCUCCA